GACGAACGCUGGCGGCGUGCCUAAUACAUGCAAGUCGAGCGAAAAGACGAGGCGCUUGUUGGUCUCACGUUAGCGGCGCACGUGUGUGUAACACGUGGAUAAUCUACUUAUAAUACUGGUAUAACUUCGGAAAGGCGGCGCAAAUACCGGAUAAGAUAUUGCACCGCAUGGUUGAUUAGUGAAAGACGGUGUUUGGGUCACUUAUAGCUGGUUCUCCGCCGCAUUGGCUAGUUGGUAAGGUAACGGCUUAUCAAGGCGACUAUGCGUGACCGACCUGAGAGAGUGAUCGGCCACACUGGAACGUGAACACGGUCAAGACUCCUACGGGAGGCAGCAGAAGGGAAUCUGCCGCAGUAGGCGAAAGCCUGACGGAGCAAGGCGGCGCGAGAGAUGAAGGUCUUCGGAGCGUGAAACUCUGUUAUUAGGGAUAAACAAAUUUGGAAGUAACUAUGCACGGCGUGACGGUAACUAAUCAGAAAGCCACGGCUAACUACGUG
RNAcentral lists this ribosomal RNA (497 nucleotides) under uncultured bacterium. Its description in RNAcentral is "partial 16S ribosomal RNA". It matches the Rfam family "Bacterial small subunit ribosomal RNA", at positions 28 to 507 of the family's 1533-position model. The record is from RNAcentral.